GGGCCCGCACAAGCGGUGGAGUAUGUGGUUUAAUUCGAUGCAACGCGAAGAACCUUACCAGGGCUUAAAUGUAAGUUGCAUUAGUUAGAGAUAGCUAUUUCUUCGGACCACUUACAAGGUGCUGCAUGGUUGUCGUCAGCUCGUGCCGUGAGGUGUCAGGUUAAGUCCUAUAACGAGCGCAACCCCUGUUGUUAGUUGCCAGCGAGUCAUGUCGGGAACUCUAACAAGACUGCCGGUGCAAACCGUGAGGAAGGUGGGGAUGACGUCAAAUCAUCACGGCCCUUACGUCCUGGGCUACACACGUGCUACAAUGGUCGGUACAGAGAGCAGCCACUACGCGAGUAGGAGCGAAUCUUCAAAACCGGUCUCAGUUCGGAUCGCAGUCUGCAACUCGACUGCGUGAAGCUGGAAUCGCUAG
Molecule: ribosomal RNA, 418 nt
Filed under: uncultured bacterium
Lineage: Bacteria
Description: bacterial SSU rRNA
Rfam family: Bacterial small subunit ribosomal RNA
Source: RNAcentral